CAGACACCCACUGAACAUUUUCAUGAUGAU
This 30-nucleotide non-coding RNA is filed under the name Mus musculus (house mouse). Lineage: Eukaryota; Metazoa; Chordata; Mammalia; Rodentia; Muridae. The record is from RNAcentral.